CCAACGGGAGGCUGCAGUGGGGAAUAUUGGGCAAUGGGGGCAACCCUGACCCAGCGACGCCGCGUGAGGGAAGAAGGCCUUCGGGUUGUAAACCUCUUUUGUAUGGGAAGAAGGAUGUGACGGUACCGUACGAAUAAGUCCCGGCUAACUACGUGCCAGCAGCCGCGGUAAUACGUAGGGGACGAGCGUUGUCCGGAAUUACUGGGCGUCAAGGGCGCGCAGGGUGUGCUGCAAGUCAGCUGGGAAAUAUCUGGGUUUAACCCGGUUAUGCGGUUGAGACUGCAGUGCUGGAGUGCUGUAGAGGCAAGCGGAAUGCCCAGUGUAGCGGUGAAAUGCGUAGAUAUUGGGAAGAACACCGGUGGCGAAGGCGGCUUGCUGGGCAGCAACUGACGCUGAGGCGCGAAAGCCAGGGGAGCAAACG
RNAcentral lists this ribosomal RNA (421 nucleotides) under uncultured prokaryote. RNAcentral describes it as "bacterial SSU rRNA". It matches the Rfam family "Bacterial small subunit ribosomal RNA", at positions 338 to 774 of the family's 1533-position model. The record is from RNAcentral.